Molecule: long non-coding RNA, 452 nt
Filed under: Brassica napus (rape)
Lineage: Eukaryota; Viridiplantae; Streptophyta; Magnoliopsida; Brassicales; Brassicaceae
Description: long non-coding RNA (BNAP_LNC009979)
Source: RNAcentral
CAGUAAAUGAAUUGGUGAGCAAGGUAAUUGCUCGAUUGGUUUGAUUUGAGGUUGUUAACAAUUGGGUGGAUAGCUAGAUUCAGGUAUAUUCUCAGGUGUGAUAAGUAAAUAACUUCAUUUGGGUUUUUAGGGGGUUUAUUGAUAUUAAUUGCUCUUGAAUUCAAACUCAGAUAUAAUCAAUUAGAGUAUCUAAUCUGGAUCUCGGAUUUCAACUAUCUUAAGUUAAUCGCGAGAAAGUGUCGAUCGAUGAUUCAUUAAGAAUAUCGAUCGAUACACCUUUUAAAAUAUCGAUCAACAGAACUAUCGUUACAUCGAUCGAUGCUUCUUUCAGAAAGCUUUAUGGACAGGUUUGAUUUAUAUUCUCUAACUUACUAGAUCAACUCUCGUGUGUAUCUUGUCAGUUAGAUCAUGCUAGUUAAUUUCAGGUAUUGAGUCAAGCAAUGGCUUGUUCU